Non-coding RNA from Dicentrarchus labrax (European seabass), 999 nucleotides. NCBI's taxonomy places the organism in Eukaryota, Metazoa, Chordata, Actinopteri, Moronidae. The record is from the annotation of a RefSeq genome assembly.
AUUCUGAAAAACGUCUGAAAUCAAAUCUGAGUGCACUCUCCAUUAAUGUUACACAUGGCCAUGUAAUUUUUGACACUGAGCUUCCUUUUCAUUGACAGACUUAAAUUGUACUGUGAUGAUGAUUUCCUCCACUUAAGAACAAAAUUCUUAUAUUUACAAACCCUGAAAAAGGUGAUCCAUCCUUUAAAUCACUCAUGUAACUCCAGUAAUAAAAGAAUAAACAAAAGCCUUCCCACCUCCAGCUGGUAGAAAAUGCUGCUACCAGUCUGUUAACCAGGAGGAAGAAAAUACAGAUCUAAGAGGAGAGGGAGAGAUUCAGGGAGGAGCUAAGCUGUUACUGAACUAUAGAAGAGAGAGGAACUUCCAUAUUCAGCAGAGUUCAAUACACAAACCAGAAACAUUACCUUUAUUCAACAUGCUGUCACUGCACACAACUUUCUCUACUAUUACUCUACUGUACAUCAUAACAGGUGUCAGCUGUGAAGAACUCACUCCAGUAAAGGAUGAAGAGUCCAGUUUAGAAGAGAGCACUGUUACUCUGUCCUACACAUACAACAAACAAGCAACUGGUAGUGAUUAUUUCUUCUGGUAUCGACAAUAUCCAGGAAAACCACCAGAGUUCCUCAUCUCACACUCUGGUUCAGGAAAUGUAGUAAAUGAACAAAUCCCUGGACUGAAGAUUAAAGUGGAGCAAAACCAAAUAGAUAUGAACAUCUCCUCUGCUGCAGUGACAGACUCUGCUGUGUACUACUGUGCUGUGAGGCCCACAGUGACAGGAAACACCAAAACUCUGUACAAAAACCUGACAGCUCCUCACUGAAGAUUUACACACUCCAGCUUCUGCUUUUACUGAACAACAGCCCCAUCAAGUGGACACUGAUAAUAAGAUCCAGUGAUAAAAUAAAUAGUUAUUCAGUUAACAGUCUGUCUUAAAACAACAUUCACAUGUUCAUAUGUACAUUAAAACAUGAUUCUUUCUGUAAUCAUUCCUCCUGUUCA